AACGUAGGUACCGAGCGUUAUCCGGAUUUACUGGGCGUAAAGCGUGUUCAGGCGGCCUGGCAAGUCGGGCAUGAAAUCUCUCGGCUCAACCGGGAGAGGCUGUCCGAUACUGCUGGGCUUGAGGACGGUAGAGGGUGGUGGAAUUCCGCGUGUAGUGGUGAAAUGCGUAGAUAUGCGGAGGAACACCGGUGGCGAAGGCGGCAUCCUGGACCAACACUGACGCUGAUGAGCGAAAGCCAGGGGAGCAAACGGG
RNAcentral lists this ribosomal RNA (253 nucleotides) under uncultured bacterium. RNAcentral describes it as "partial 16S ribosomal RNA". It matches the Rfam family "Bacterial small subunit ribosomal RNA", at positions 524 to 776 of the family's 1533-position model. The record is from RNAcentral.